This 484-nucleotide ribosomal RNA is filed under the name uncultured bacterium. RNAcentral describes it as "partial 16S ribosomal RNA". It matches the Rfam family "Bacterial small subunit ribosomal RNA", at positions 29 to 523 of the family's 1533-position model. The record is from RNAcentral.
AGUGAACGCUGGCGGCGUGCUUAACACAUGCAAGUCGAACGAGAACGGAUUAUAGCUUGCUAUAAUUGUCAGCUAAGUGGCGCACGGGUGGGUAAUGUAUAGGUAAUAUGCCUCUUACUAAGGGAUAACAAAUGGAAACGUUUGCUAAUACCUUAUACUCGUUAUUAACAUAAGUUAAUAAGGGAAAGAUUUAUUGGUAAGAGAUUAGCCUGUAUUGUAUCAUUUAGUUGGUGGGGUAAUGGCUUACCAAGACUCUAACACAUAACUGGUUUGAGAGAAUUAUCAAUCACCCUGAAACUGAGACACGGUCCAGACUCCUACGGGAGGCAUAAUUGGGGAAUAUUGCACAAUGGACGAAAGUCUGAUACAGCAUCGCCGCGUGUAGGAUGACACAUUUCGGUGCGUAAACUCCUUUUAUAUGAGAAGAUAAUGACGGUAUUAUUUGAAUAAGCACCGGCUAACUCCGUGCCAGCAGCCGCCGUAA